UUUUUCUUUUGCUUUGUCUAUAGGCUUCACAUUGGAGCAAAUGUGCUGACAAUGGGCCGAUCUCGAUGGUAAUUCGCAUGGUUUCAUGGGGUAUUUUGGUCUUUCCAAUGUGGCAUAAAGGUAAAAUUUGUGGCUCCUGAAUUUUCUGAUAUUGACUUUGCAUUUUCUUUCUCUAUAAUGCCCUUGGUGGUCCGGUUUUGCCCGUAAAUUUGGAGAUUUGUGUGUCCGUUUAUUAAUGUUUGGUUGGGCUUUCUUGUAAUUUUAACCAUAUUUGUGCCCUUUUAUUGUUCUUUCCCUUAACUUUAUCGUGAUUACCUGGUGGGGUGGAGACCGAGGAGUCAGAAAUGCCCAUUUGUCCUCUCCUUUCUUCAUCAUCAGUCUCACUCUUCUAAUUUCUCUCAUCUUCUUCCUCUUUUCUUUGGUUUUUUUUUUUUGUUUUUGAUUCUGGCCGAGAGCAACAACAAGAACAACAAGGGUGGCAAGCAAGAGAACAACUUACCUUUAGAUUUGAUGACAAAGAGGGCUCCAGCAUCAAGCUCCUGCUUUUGAUCAUUUCCAGUCGGUUGAAGAUUAUCAGCAACUUCUCUUUCUGAUGCUAUGGAACUUGGAUUCCGAGACGAAACCAUGAUGAUGAUCUCUUUCUCUUUAUGGGCUUUGAUGGAUUGUCGGGUAUAUGGUCUGAGGGAAGGUUUCUAUGACAAGUUUCAUGAGAUCUAUGUUCUCGACAGAGAGGUCUCUAUACUGAGCUGACGAACAUUAAGAUUUGUUAUCUAACAUUCGGUGGUUAGUUAAGUUUGGUCAGCUUUUGCUGCCACAAUUGUUGAAGAAAAAAAUGAGGAAGAAGAUGAGAAGUAAGAGAAAGUAAGGGUUAAGAGAGAGGGAGUCGGAUGGCUAAUGAAAGCAGUGGAGAAAAGGGUACCCGGUACUAUCACUGAAAAGUUGGGAGCAAGUAACCUUCUCCCAUGAGAAACAAAGGGAGAGGACGUCUCGAGACUGGACUGGUUGGGGUUGGUGGAGUCGUUCCUGAUUUCCUGUGAAGAGUCUGAAGACCAAUGCACUACCAAAUGAAGGAAACAGAAAGCAAGGUCACGUGCGGGAAGUAAAAGAAUAAUGUACUUUUGCAUUUGACCAAAAGUGACUUAGUAAAACGUUUCACCAAUGUCAGCCGAGGUGAAAUAAGCCAAACUUUAGCAGCUGAACAAACUUCCUCCAAUGAAACAAGCAAAUUGCAGCCGAGCAGAAAUAAGCUGAACUUCCACUCUGGAGCUGCCACGUCCAAGAAAAUAAUGUACAUCAAAUGGGUUCUGCUGUACUAUGUUUGCACGUCCAAGAGGAUGAUGGAGAUUUAAAAAAUGCUAUUUUGUGAUGUCUUGGCGUUUAUCAGCUCAACUUCCACAACCUAAACAUUCAAGAUUAAAAUUAAACUUGUCUACUUUUCGUGUUUAGAAUGCCUGUAUAAUUAGAACUUCUUUCCAGCAUUACUAAUUUUCACUAAUAUGCCUGUAUAAUAUAGUUGCGUUUUAUGCUUCCA
Non-coding RNA from Coffea arabica (coffee), 1531 nucleotides. The record is from RefSeq and is a predicted model, not a curated record. Lineage: Eukaryota; Viridiplantae; Streptophyta; Magnoliopsida; Gentianales; Rubiaceae.